This is a non-coding RNA of Zootermopsis nevadensis, 73 nucleotides long. The record is from Rfam. NCBI's taxonomy places the organism in Eukaryota, Metazoa, Arthropoda, Insecta, Blattodea, Termopsidae.
GCCACGGUGGUCUAGCGGUUAGAACGUUGGCCUUGUAAUCCUGGAGUCUCGGGUUCGAUUCCCGGCGGUGGCC